RNAcentral lists this long non-coding RNA (309 nucleotides) under Capra hircus (goat). RNAcentral's name for it is "lncRNA (ENSCHIG00000007776.1)". The record is from RNAcentral. Lineage: Eukaryota; Metazoa; Chordata; Mammalia; Artiodactyla; Bovidae.
ACUUCAAAUCCUUCUUACCUUGAAAUUUUAAGUUUGGGUAUCAAGAACUGAUCCAACAUAUUUCUAAAAUGAUGAUUUUUUUUCUUUAAAGUUUUGAAAAACUACAGUCUUUGUUUUAAAAAGGCCAAAAGACAUUUUCUGAAGACAUAAUGGAGACUCUGGUGGUGGUGUUAGCAAAUCUUUUUGGAUGACGAUAUUUUCUUCAGUGUGUGAAAAACUUUGAAAAGAGAUUUUUUUCAUUCAGUGGGACAAAAUGGCUCCUGAAACAGGCAGAAGACUUGGCAGAAAAAUAAUUAUAAUUCAUAGCAG